This 392-nucleotide ribosomal RNA is filed under the name uncultured bacterium. Its description in RNAcentral is "partial 16S ribosomal RNA". It matches the Rfam family "Bacterial small subunit ribosomal RNA", at positions 523 to 918 of the family's 1533-position model. The record is from RNAcentral.
ACACGUAGGGGGCGAGCGUUGUUCGGAAUCAUUGGGCGUAAAGGGCGCGCAGGCGGCCGUCCAAGUCCGGUGUUAAAUGGUCGGGCUCAACCCGAUCAUGCGCUGGAAACUGGGCGGCUUGAGUCCCGUAGGGGAUGCCGGAAUUCCAGGGGUAGGGGGGAAAUCUGUAGAUAUCUGGAAGAACACCGAUGGCGAAGGCAGGCAUCUGGCCGGAGACUGACGCUGAGGCGCGAAGGCGCGGGGAGCGAACAGGUUUAGAUACCCUGGUAGUCCGCGCAGUAAACGAUGCGCACCAGGUGUCGGGCGGCAGCGCCCGGUACCGGAGCUAACGCGAUGAGUGCGCCGCCUGGGGAGUAUGCCCGCAAGGGUGAAACUCAAAUGAAUUGACGGGG